GAAUAGGUGUACCGGCCAAAAACCACAAAUCUCGAUGCAAUAAAAAUAAAUGCGGAAAAUAAAAAGCACACCGAGAUUUACGUGGAAAAACUCCAACUUGGAGAAAAACCCACGGGACCAACACGCGAAAAAAUAAUUCACUAAGAGAAAAGAUUACAAGGUGAUUACCGACUGCACGGACUCAACCUCUCUUAACCUCCUAUGAAUCUCGCGCAAUCCUCCGGGUUGUCCACGCCCUCACGUUCGAAUCCACGAACGCCUCCACUUCGAAUCCACGAAGCUUCAAUCACGCCGAAUCCACGACGCCACUCGAAUCCACGAGCCCACGAUCCGAAUCCACGAACCGCCUUCGUUCACGCCGAAUCCACGACGCCGUUCAUGAAGAGCAUCAUGAUUAUGGUGAUCCUUCGCUUAGAGUAUCGAUGAAAACCAGGGAAAGAAACUCCAAGCGAAGCGGAGAUCAAAUCGACAUAUAGAUAUGAAAAUUCAAUAUCUCGAUUUGACCUAAAAGAGGCUUUAUGUAGAAAAUAGGUUUUAGAUGAAAUCCG
RNAcentral lists this long non-coding RNA (548 nucleotides) under Ananas comosus (pineapple). RNAcentral's name for it is "long non-coding RNA (ACOM_LNC016945)". The record is from RNAcentral. Lineage: Eukaryota; Viridiplantae; Streptophyta; Magnoliopsida; Poales; Bromeliaceae.